GCUGUCCUAGAUCUGUCAACACCACAGGCACAGCACAGUUGCUCAGCUGUGCCUAUGACAUGGGGGGUGGGGGGAAGCAAGCGGCUAUUUCUACCCUCAACGUUCAGAAGCCAGUGAGCAGUAAGAAUGGGUUAUAGCACAUUU
Molecule: small nucleolar RNA, 144 nt
Filed under: Peromyscus maniculatus bairdii (prairie deer mouse)
Lineage: Eukaryota; Metazoa; Chordata; Mammalia; Rodentia; Cricetidae
Description: Small nucleolar RNA SNORA43 (ENSPEMG00000001453.2)
Source: RNAcentral